UAGGGAAUUUUUCACAAUGAGCGAAAGCUUGAUGGAGCAAUGCCGCGUGAACGAUGAAGGUCUUUAAGAUUGUAAAGUUCUUUUAUUUGGGAAGAAUGACUUUAGCAGGUAAUGGCUAGAGUUUGACUGUACCAUUUUGAAUAAGUGACGACUAACUAUGUGCCAGCAGUCGCGGUAAUACAUAGGUCGCAAGCGUUAUCCGGAUUUAUUGGGCGUAAAGCAAGCGCAGGCGGAUUGAAAAGUCUGGUGUUAAAGGCAGCUGCUUAACAGUUGUAUGCAUUGGAAGCUAUUAAUCUAGAGUGUGGUAGGGAGUUUUGGAAUUUCAUGUGGAGCGGUGAAAUGCGUAGAUAUAUGAAGGAACACCAGUGGCGAAGGCGAAAACUUAGGCCAUUACUGACGCUUAGGCUUGAAAGUGUGGGGAGCAAAUAGGAUUAGAUACCCUAGUAGUCCACACCGUAAACGAUAGAUACUAGCUGUCGGGGCGAUCCCCUCGGUAGUGAAGUUAACACAUUAAGUAUCUCGCCUGGGUAGUACAUUCGCAAGAAU
This 546-nucleotide ribosomal RNA is filed under the name uncultured bacterium. RNAcentral describes it as "bacterial SSU rRNA". It matches the Rfam family "Bacterial small subunit ribosomal RNA", at positions 355 to 895 of the family's 1533-position model. The record is from RNAcentral.